UUCAAUUAAAAAAAAUAGCGCAGAAUAUUGAGUUGAAAGCUGUCCCGCGUCGAUUGUCUUCUUCCCGUCUUCAAAUCUAGUUUACUCCACGAUCCCGAGCUUUGGCGGUCUUGUGUGGCAUGAGGAGCAAGUCAGUCAGAGAGGAUCGGACGGGUCGGAACUAUGCUCAAACGUCGUAGACCUUCCUGUUCUGUUCGCCAUGAAUCUAAGUCGAUCGAGGUGUGGGCUGUGUGCCUUGCGUGUUUCGUCACCUCUUGUGGAGUCUCGGCAGAUGGGACCGGUGUUCUGGCGAAGACUUCAUCUUCAUGCAGCAUAGAAGAGCUACAGCGGUGGAGGACAAUGGCCAUCUCGGUCACCUGUAUCGCAGUUGUCAGUAUAUUGGGGAAUCUCGCUGUGCUGCAUAAGCUGCACCUCGCCCAAGUCGAACGUAGGAAGUUUGACCGGUUGCUUGGAGAAAUUAUACAGCAACCAAAGA
This is a long non-coding RNA of Sycon ciliatum, 475 nucleotides long. RefSeq lists it as uncharacterized. The transcript is spliced from 3 exons. The record is from RefSeq and is a predicted model, not a curated record. Lineage: Eukaryota; Metazoa; Porifera; Calcarea; Leucosolenida; Sycettidae.